CACUAAGAAGCUAUGCAGCAGCACUAGCCUUUUAAGCUAGAGAAAGAGGACCACCCGCUCCUCCUUAGUGA
RNAcentral lists this transfer RNA (71 nucleotides) under Anhinga rufa (African darter). RNAcentral's name for it is "tRNA-Lys". Lineage: Eukaryota; Metazoa; Chordata; Aves; Suliformes; Anhingidae. The record is from RNAcentral.